UGUGCUGGAGUUGUCUGAGUUACACAUCU
RNAcentral lists this non-coding RNA (29 nucleotides) under Homo sapiens (human). Lineage: Eukaryota; Metazoa; Chordata; Mammalia; Primates; Hominidae. The record is from RNAcentral.